RNAcentral lists this ribosomal RNA (497 nucleotides) under uncultured bacterium. Its description in RNAcentral is "partial 16S ribosomal RNA". It matches the Rfam family "Bacterial small subunit ribosomal RNA", at positions 28 to 507 of the family's 1533-position model. The record is from RNAcentral.
GAUGAACGCUGGCGGCGUGCCCAAUACAUGCGAGUCGAGCGAACGGACGAGAAGCUUGCUUCUCUGAUGUUAGCGGCGGACGGGUGAGUAACACGUGGAUAACCUACCUAUAAGACUGGGAUAACUUCGGGAAACCGGAGCUAAUACCGGAUGAUAUUUUGAACCGCAUGGUUCAAAAGUGAAAGACGGUCUUGCUGUCACUUAUAGAUGGAUCCGCGCUGCAUUAGCUAGUUGGUAAGGUAACGGCUUACCAAGGCAACGAUGCAUAGCCGACCUGAGAGGGUGAUCGGCCACACUGGAACUGAGACACGGUCCAGACUCCUACGGGAGGCAGCAGUAGGGAAUCUUCCGCAAUGGGCGAAAGCCUGACGGAGCAACGCCGCGUGAGUGAUGAAGGUCUUCGGAUCGUAAAACUCUGUUAUUAGGGAAGAACAUAUGUGUAAGUAACUGUGCACAUCUUGACGGUACCUAAUCAGAAAGCCACGGCUAACUACGUG